This 3848-nucleotide long non-coding RNA is filed under the name Salmo salar (Atlantic salmon). Its description in RNAcentral is "lncRNA (ENSSSAG00000043689.2)". The record is from RNAcentral. Lineage: Eukaryota; Metazoa; Chordata; Actinopteri; Salmoniformes; Salmonidae.
AUGCAACAUUUAUUGGAUGCCAACCGCCGUUAAACCUAAUCGAAAAAGAGAUAUCGCUUAUUAUCGCAUCAGUACAAACUUUGUAAGUGUAUACAUUAAACGUGUCACUAAUUUUGGAACGCUCAACUCGUCAUAGCCCCGCCUCCUCAGUUCCGGCAUUUUGGCUCCGGAAGUACAGUAAUUUUUUUGGUUCACAGGAAAAGGAAAAAAAAACUGCUGUUGGGAAACAAAACAGCAAAAAUGCCUGCCCCAAAAAGACACGAGUCUUUUCAGGAUCCUCAAGCAAAGAGAAGAAAGAUGGAUCAGAAUGAAGUCGCCAUGCCAUCCAACAAAACGACACCAGCCUCUGCAACGUCAAGCAACCCCCAAAGAGAAGCACCUUUGCAGAGAAGGAAUAAGAAAAAGGCCCCUGCAGAACUAAAAGAGGGAAAUAAACCUGCAGGGUCCAGCCGCCAUUCCUCCAAGACAAAAUCAACCCAAAAGGCCAGGACUAGGACCAAGUUCAAUCCACCUGUAAAGAACACCAAGCUGCUGAAAGCCACAAGUGCCUCCUCAAAGAAUCCCAACUCUAAAGGAACCCUAAAAAGACCAGCCAAGAUCUUCAAAAUUGCUUCCACAGAGUCUGAUGAGGAGCUUAUCAGAACUCAUAAACCCCAUUGCAUCAGAAAAUACUCUAAUGGGGAUAGAGGUAAGCGUAAAGGGUCACAGUCUAACCUGAAUGAAGAAGUAUUGCUCUCAGACCCUGUGCAGAGGGAUCACAAUUAUGGUAUACCCUCUGCGUCUUGUGGUAGUCAUUCUGAAAUUGAGGAAAAUAAAAGGAAAAGAGUCAGAGAGUCCACCAGAGGCCCAGAGACCCUGAGAGAUGUGAAGAUGGAAACUCAAAUAUCUUCAGGACCCUUACCUGAACAAUCUGGACAGAUGAAGCGGAGCAGUGAGACACAUGAGAUGCAGGAUAAUUCCAUUACCACCCCAACAGAUGAAUUUAGUGAGAGUGUCAAUACCAAGCCAGACACAGAAAUGUCUCCUCCAGCAUCCCCUGAGAAAGCUUCAGACCCCAUCCAUAAACAGGUGAACCAGAAUAAUUCCAUGACUACCCCAACAGAUGAAGUUAGUGAGAGUUUUGAGACCAAGACUGACACAGAAAUGUAUCCUCCAGCAUCCCCUGAGAAAGCUUCAGACCCCAUCCAUAAGCGGGUGAACCAGAAUAAUUCCAUGACUACCCCAACAGAUGAAGUUAGUGAGAGUUUUGAGACCAAGACUGACACAGAAAUGUAUCCUCCAGCAUCCCCUGAGGAAGCUUCAGACCCCAUCCAUAAACAGGUGAACCAGAGUAGUGAGACACAUGAGGAGCAGAACGAUUCCAUGACCAUCCCUACAUAUCAAGUUAGUGAGAGUGUAGAGAGCAAGAUUGAUGCAUAUAAAAAGUCUGCAGACCCCAUACCUGAACUACUAAAACAGAGCACUGAGACACAGGUUAUGCAGGAAAACUCCAUGACCACCCAUACAGAUCAAGUUAAUGAACAUUUAGAGACUAAGAUCGGUGCAAAAAUAUUGUCUCCUCCAGCCAUAGGCUUAGUAGCAUAUAGUAGCAGUAGUGAUUCUGAAUGUGAAAGUGAGGGAAAUGACAGGACGGGAGUCACAGAGUCAAUAGAUAUGAAGAUGAAAACUCAAGCAUCUUCAGAGAAGGCUUCAGACCCUGUCUCUGAACAGGUGAAGGAGAGCAGUGAGACGAGGCAGAUGCAGGAGGAUUCCAUGACCACCCCUACAUAUGAAGUUACCGAGGAUUCCAUGGCCUCCCCUACAUACCAAGAAGUUACCGAGGAUUCCAUGACCACCCCUAGUGAGAGUGUAGACGCCAAGCUUGACGCAAAUAUAAAGCCUCCAUCUAUAGAAGUAUAUUCAGAGGAGGCUUCAGACCCUGUCCCUGAACAGGUGAAUCCUGAACAGGUGAAUCAGAUAUACAUUGAAAUAGAGAAGGUGCAGGAAGAUUCCAUGACCACCCCAACAGAUGAAGUAAGUGAAUGUUUAGAUGGCACGCUUGAUGCAGAAAUAAUGUCCCUUCCACCUUUAGAAGCAUCCUCUGAGGAGACCCAUACAUUUGAAGUUAGUGAGAAUGUAGAGACCAAGUGUUCAGAACUUGCACCUGAACAUGUGACGCAGAGCACUGAGACACAGGAGAUGCAGGGAGAUUCCACGCCAGCUCAUGCAGAUCAAGUGCUGCAGAGCAGUGAGACACAGGAAGUCCAGGAAGAUUCCAUGACCACCCCUACAGAUGAACUUAGGGAAAGUUUAGGAACAAAGUCGGGUGCUAAAAUAAAGUCUCCACCCCUAGAGGUGCUUUUCAGUGCUCUAAAGGAGUCCAAUCUUUGCAAACAUCCACUGUCUCAUACGAUGCGCUCAAAUGUUAAAGAGUUUCUGGGAGUAGAGGAUUCUUUAGAAAUCACACAAAAAGACUGGGAGUUUGGUGUAACAGAGAGCAUUGAGUGUACUUUAGACCUGGAGACCCCGAUUAUUGUCGAGGAUAUGGAGAUCGGCCACUGUGUUGUGGAGGUGGUGGGAGAGAAUGGAGAUGAGGUGGACAGUGAUCUGGAAAUCAUAGACAUCUCUGAGAGGCCAGAGAACACACUUGAGCUAACCAAAGGGUCUGAAGAAGAGUGCAGUGUGGAUAAAAGUGAAGAUGGUAUUGAAAAGAAAGGCACAAGUUCCUCUAACCAAGACAGCACAAAUAGUGGUAAGAAGGAAGCUACUAAAAAAACACAGGGUAGCCUGGAAAAACCCAAGAAACAGCAGAUGAACCCUCAGGCCCGGACCAAAGCCCGACUAGCAGCACUAGCUGAGCAAAAGGCAGCCGCCUCCAAAAAAGCGAGCAGGCAGCUCAACCUCCUGGCCCUAUGUGAAGAAAUAGCAGAUGAUAUCGCCACUGACACAAUGUUAAUAAAGACGAAGGAGGAGGAGGAGCAGGUUGUAACAGUUAAGGCUGAACCCAGCAAGGAGCCAGAAUGCACACCGCCUGUCACACAGGCUGAGACUGUUCCUAUACCUCCAACUCCUGCCGGGCCCGAGGAACCCUCUCCAGCAGUAGAACCCUCCGCUGAGGAGCCUGCUCCAGCCAAGCCCCCAGCUCCAGAGCCAUCUCAGAGGCGUUUCUUCAUCAGCCAAGUGACAGUACCCCUCAAAAUCCACGAGAAGAAGAAGCUUACCAGGUUCCAGAGGCUGCGGCAGGUGGAGCUACAGCGGGAGAAGAAUAUGUCCUGGACCAUGGUGAAGAAGCUCAAGUCCGAUCAGAAGAUGAUUCCAGAGACUGAGACUAAACCUUCCCCUCCAGCAGCAGUACCUGUCCAAGUGACCACACCCCCACCCCCCUCAGCCAGUCCAGCAGCACCCACAGUAGCUGCACUCUCCCCAACCAUUCCAGAAGUAACCCCAAAAGUUGAGCCCCCAAAAGUUGAGCUCCCCAAAGUGACCCCCAGUAAGGGACCCACCCUGAGAAAGAGGACGCUUCCAGCAGAACCCCCACCGAUGCCCAACGGGCUGAAAGCUCAGAAGGCCAAGCCUGUGGUGGAGUAUAAGCCUUACAAAUCCAGGCCCAAGUACUCCUUUGAUGACUUUGAAUGUGAUGACGAGCCGAAACCCACAGUGCAGAAGGCAGCAGUGAGACCUACAGCUACCACUAUUCAGAGGGCAGCAGUGACACCUACCACUAUUCAGAGGGCAGCAGUGACACCUACCGCCGUUCAGAGGGCAGCAGUGACACCUACCGCCGUUCAGAGGGCAGCAGUGACACCUACCGCCGUUCAGAGGGCAGCAGUGACACCUACCGCCGUUCAGAGGGCAGCAGUGACACCUAC